GGAUAGUUGGUAGAGUGGUCAAAUACACCCGAUUGCUAAUCGGGGGUCGCUAACGCGGCACAAGGGUUCGAAUCCCUUACUAUCCGCCA
RNAcentral lists this transfer RNA (89 nucleotides) under Acidobacteriota bacterium. Its description in RNAcentral is "Acidobacteria bacterium tRNA-Ser". It matches the Rfam family "tRNA". Rfam says of the family: Transfer RNA (tRNA) molecules are approximately 80 nucleotides in length. Their secondary structure includes four short double-helical elements and three loops (D, anti-codon, and T loops). The record is from RNAcentral. Lineage: Bacteria; Pseudomonadati; Acidobacteriota.